UACCUGUAAAACAAGAGAGACAAUCAACUUGUGGAUUUUCUUUCUAUUGAUUUAAUUAUUUUACUUUGAGAGCCUUAAAUCAAUUGAAAUAUAAAAUGAGUCAAGAUUGUUAUUAAAAAUCUAUUUAUAUACUUACAGUUAUCAAUCCAAAAUAUAAACUGAAAAGUACCACAGCCCACAAACAGAAAGUCGCAGCUCACUGAAAGCCAUUUAGGGGAGGGGGAUAUCAGAAACAAGUAACUGACAAGUUUGAUAAGCUAUGUUUAAUGACAAACAUUUCCCAAGAGUAAAAUUCCAUCGGUCUUUAAAACUAUGGUGAGAGACCCCAGCAGUGGGCAGAGACACCUUGGUGGUGGUCGUACACCAGUCAUGGGCAAAGCAGAUGGCAGCCCUUUGUUCAUCCUAGUUUGAUGGGUAGCUUAGUGAUCAAAGCUGUUUUAUGCAUAGGACACAUAAAAAUCAAAGAAAUCCAGGCAGCGCAGCACAGCACAGGAGGAAGAGAGAGACCAGAGGAAGACCACAAUACCUUUCAGACCUGCCCUCCAGCCCAUGGCACAGGUGGACCACAGACACCUCUUGCCUCCAACCACUCAGCACAGAAAAGGAUGCUGCCUACAGGUCCAUGAAGUGUGUGGCCAGCCUGUAGUGGGAGCUACCACAAUGUCAGAGUCUGUGGUGCUCAGGUAGGAGAGAGAGAAGUGGAGCAGCUUGAGCAUUAUGAAGAGAGAUGGAACUAGAGACUCAAGGCCUGGUAUGAGUGGCCAGCCCCAGUACCUGGUGCCAUGAUCAGGUCCCAGCAUGAGCUGUCACUGAGGGUGAUGUUUGAGCCCAUGACUACAUAGCAACAGGGUUGGUGUUGAUGUCCAUGACUCACAUGUCACUGAUCAGGGCAGCAUUGGGGCAUCACAAGGACUGUGGAUAACUGGCCCAUCCCCUCACUGGAUGCAGAGGGCUCUGGAGAGCUGGUCUCAUCUCUCAUCUCUUGCCAGCAGCAGAACUGGGGAGAGGAGACCCUGUGCCUUGCCCAGGUAGCACAGUGGCACUAGUUCUGGCAGCAGUCCCGGGGUGUGAGUCAGCCAUGAUGGCCUGCCUAUGAGAGAGCUGACCCUCGCACUCAAUUUGCCGGCGGUGGCAUGGGUGCAGAGGUGAUGGAGGCCCUCCCCUUUCCCUGUGGCAGUCAGGAAAGCUGCCCACAGGACAUGAGCUCAGGAGAGCUGCCCCUGCCCCCACCAGCUGCAGGAUUCAGGACAGCAAGGUAGGACUGGCUCUGGUAGAAGGGGCAUGGGUGAGCCAGCCCCACUGUCUAGUGUGAGGUGGUAUGGGGCUGAUACCCUCCCUUUCCCCUCGUCACCAACGGUGACUGGAAGAGCUGACACUGGGAUCAUGAGAGCAGGAGAGUUAGCCCUGCCCCUUUACAGGUUACAGCACUCAUGGCUGCACCUCACCUGGACAAUACAGUGGAGCUGGCCCUGAUGGCAAAGGCAUUGGUGAACCAGCCCACAGGGUGCGAGAAUGGGAGAGCUGACUUCCCUCCUGCCAAGGGUGGCAUUGGGUAGCCUAACUGAAGCAGUGCUUGUUGCCCUGGUAGUGCAGCGAGGGAGAGCCAACAGGCUGACUAGCUCAGCUGCCACCCAGGCCCAAGACCCUGAGUGGGUCCACUCCAAAGUCUUAUCAUCUGCAGAUUACUGGGACAGGAGAGAGGGCCAGCUGGUCCUGCUGAUCCAAAGCUACAAGAGUUCCUUGAUACAGGGCAACAACAAGAUAUCCAGGAGUCCAGAUGAGGAUCCAAUAUUGAUGGUGUAAUAGAAGCCAGAGAUUCCGAACCAGACCAAUGGCUCAUUCAUUACAAGGAAUGUGAAGAUGUGUGGGACACACUAUGACACACUACAGCUUCCAUGAUGAGAUGGUUUCUAUGUUUGCUGGUUUUUUGUUCUCGCUAUGUAGUCCUGCUCAGUAGAUGAGGCUGUCCUUAACCUUAGAGGCCUACUUGCCUCCUGAGUGCUGCUGGGCUUAAAGGAACGGCCAGACUGAAUGCCACACCUAUCAAGAGCCAACUAAGGUCAAGGACACAGCCAACGCUCAGUGACUACUUGAUCUGCUUUUUUGCUAACACUUUAUCAACAAAAGUGACUCAAAGACCCAGAAGACCCUAAUGAGAUCCUCCAGUAAUGUCAGGAACCUCAAGUCAGAUCAAGUUGUAACUGGAACAUACAGAAGAGCCAGACCAGCCCCAAAAACUGCUGAGCAGACAAGGCAGAGCAGAGCUGGUACCUGUGGAGGAGACCCUGGAUAUCAAGUCACAAGCCUUCAAGCCACAGCACGGGUAAAGUCAACCACCUCCAUAGAACCUGCCUCUUGGUUAAGGAUGCCAUCACUUCCACCUGAGCUUAAACUGGUGUGGUGACAGACCUGUCAGAAGUACUUACAUAACAAUACUGACUUAAACAAAGCCUCAUGUGUGGAAACGACUGCAAAAAAAAGUGCCAACCCACUUUUCCCAGGAACACAGAAUAUAAAGAGGAAAUCAUGGAAAAUUUAAAACAAUAUUUUAAACCUUCUCUUUUAAAGCUUGUAUGUCAAAUUCA
Rattus norvegicus (Norway rat) is the source of this 2585-nucleotide long non-coding RNA. RefSeq lists it as uncharacterized. Lineage: Eukaryota; Metazoa; Chordata; Mammalia; Rodentia; Muridae. The record is from RefSeq and is a predicted model, not a curated record.